AGUGAACGCUGGCGGUAGGCCUAACACAUGCAAGUCGAACGGCAGCACAGUAAGAGCUUGCUCUUACGGGUGGCGAGUGGCGGACGGGUGAGGAAUACAUCGGAAUCUACUUUUUCGUGGGGGAUAACGUAGGGAAACUUACGCUAAUACCGCAUACGACCUACGGGUGAAAGCAGGGGAACUUCGGACCUUGCGCGAAUGAAUGCGCCGAUGUCGGAUUAGCUAGUUGGCGGGGUAAAGGCCCACCAAGGCGACGAUCCGUAGCUGGUCUGAGAGGAUGAUCAGCCACACUGGAACUGAGACACGGUCCAGACUCCUACGGGAGGCAGCAGUGGGGAAUAUUGGACAAUGGGCGCAAGCCUGAUCCAGCCAUACCGCGUGGGUGAAGAAGGCCUUCGGGUUGGAAAGCCCUUUUGUUGGGAAAGAAAAGCAGCAGGUUAAUACCCCGCUGUUCUGACGGUACCCAAAGAAUAAGCACCGGCUAACUUCGUG
This 492-nucleotide ribosomal RNA is filed under the name uncultured bacterium. RNAcentral's name for it is "partial 16S ribosomal RNA". It matches the Rfam family "Bacterial small subunit ribosomal RNA", at positions 29 to 507 of the family's 1533-position model. The record is from RNAcentral.